Molecule: long non-coding RNA, 1684 nt
Filed under: Homo sapiens (human)
Lineage: Eukaryota; Metazoa; Chordata; Mammalia; Primates; Hominidae
Description: long independently transcribed non-coding RNA 2191, transcript variant 2 (LINC02191)
Source: RNAcentral
AGGGUCCAUGAGCCCCAAGCGGAGAUUCCAUCUAAACCCCUGCUUUAGAUGCGGGCACUGCAGAGCCACUCCAAGUCAUUUGUUCCAAGACCAUGUGUUAAAAUAAGCCUAUUUGUUGAGUGGCAUGAGGUUAAAGUUAGUGUCUUAUUUAUGUUUGUGUCACUGGUACCCAACUAGCACAUAGCAUAUGGUAGGAGCACAGUGAACAUAGCAGGGAUAUACAUGCAGUGUUCGAGAUGCUGGCAGGGUGUGAACAGGGUACCAGAACGUGGGCUUUAUGUAGGAUUAGAGUUAGAAGCAUUAGCAGCUGAAAAAUGGCAGGAAAAUGAUGAAAUCUGCAUGAUGGAAAAAGGGGGUCAGAGAUCUAAAGUCUAGAUGAAUGCAGAAAACAGAGCACUCAGGAAUAAGCUUCUGCUCACCACUCCUGGAGAAGUGUGACAUACAUGCAAACUUCUGCACAUCUGGGACUGAAGAAGUAGAUCUUUCACCUUAAAAUUACCCACUGAUAUCCACUGGGAGAGAGAACUCUCUCUGAUUUGAUGCUCAGCAAGAGUGACUCUCAUCUCCAGGAUUGCUGGUGGGAGGUCAAGUCUUCCUCCCCAGGAUGCUGCACUUGGAUGGACUUGAAAGAGUUCUGUUUGUUCCAACGUCUAUAAAAACAUCAUUAACUUGAGAUUUCCGACAAGGACAUCAGCACUGGGUGAAAAGACGCACACAUAUCCUGACUCAAGGGCCUGUAAUUCUAUCCGUGACGUGGUUCUCCAAGUCCAGCUUUGUUCAUCCCAGCUCAGAUUCCACAUUUGUCAGGCCCAUGCUCCUUAGCCUUUGAGUUUCAGAAUGGCUCUCCUAAAAGGAACACUCCUAUUUGUCCAGGUUGCGAUCUCAUAUUCACUCUGGGCCAGACCAACUACACAACUCCUUAAUUCUUCAGUUGGCCGGGAGUGAGGUUCCAGGAUGCCACAGCCCUGGGCAAUGAAGACAACAAGUUCAUCUUGAAUAGAUGGAUCUGAUUCACCUGACCUUAGGAGGAAUACACUGAAUUAUUUUUCAUGCUAGAGCAUAUUCCCAGGGCGCUGGGGCAGAGACCACGUCCUAAACCCAACUCAAAUGUGGGCUGUGCUCUUGGCUGAAGAAAAGCAUGGAAAGCAGUUGGGGACCUGCAUCCCCAAGACUGUCAGCCCUUCUCCAGGGCUAGCAACAAGCAGAGUGUAGCAGUGAGAAGAUGCUCUUGGCAGGCUCCAGAUAGCUGUGCCCUCAGCCCAGGAGGACUCAGCCAAUGAAGACUCAGCUAAUGAAAGCUCAGCAUGGAGGUGGCAAAGGGCUGCAGCCCCACCAAACUCUUUGCCUCCAGGCGCUGUGGUGGUGAAGAACUGAAAUACACAAACCUUGGGGCUUCCCCUUGUCCCUGAAACUGCAGAAGAUGCUGGCUCGGGAGAGCCCAGGUGAGAAAGCUGCUGCAGGAGCCAGAAACUUUGGCAAAGACUCUUUCUUUGCAAGUAAGAAAGCUAGUUGGGAAAGAGGACCAACUGUUCCUUCUAAAUUCCCAGGGAGUGGAGGGUACGUGAGGCCCUGUGAUUCAUUGGCCAGGAGUAUCUGCUCCAGCUGCCAGGCCAGAGUGAUCAAUCCAAAAGUGCUUCUGAAAAUGAGGCCAGACCCACAUUAAUGAAGCCUGAUUGCCUCAGAA